Molecule: transfer RNA, 84 nt
Filed under: Deltaproteobacteria bacterium RIFCSPLOWO2_02_FULL_46_8
Lineage: Bacteria; Deltaproteobacteria
Description: tRNA-Leu
Rfam family: tRNA
About the family: Transfer RNA (tRNA) molecules are approximately 80 nucleotides in length. Their secondary structure includes four short double-helical elements and three loops (D, anti-codon, and T loops). Further hydrogen bonds mediate the characteristic L-shaped molecular structure. tRNAs have two regions of fundamental functional importance: the anti-codon, which is responsible for specific mRNA codon recognition, and the 3' end, to which the tRNAs corresponding amino acid is attached (by aminoacyl-tRNA synthetases). tRNAs cope with the degeneracy of the genetic code in two manners: having more than one tRNA (with a specific anti-codon) for a particular amino acid; and 'wobble' base-pairing, i.e. permitting non-standard base-pairing at the 3rd anti-codon position.
Source: RNAcentral
GCCGCGAUGGCGGAAUUGGUAGACGCGCGAGACUCAAAAUCUCGUGUCCGCAAGGGCGUGGGGGUUCGAUUCCCUCUCGCGGCA